GUUAACGUAGCACCUGGUAUUGCAAAAGACCUAAACCCUUUCUAUAGAGAUUCAAAUCCUCUCGUUAAC
Molecule: transfer RNA, 69 nt
Filed under: Osteocephalus verruciger (Ecuador slender-legged treefrog)
Lineage: Eukaryota; Metazoa; Chordata; Amphibia; Anura; Hylidae
Also listed under: 1 other name
Description: tRNA-Leu
Rfam family: tRNA
About the family: Transfer RNA (tRNA) molecules are approximately 80 nucleotides in length.
Source: RNAcentral